Magnolia sinica is the source of this 259-nucleotide long non-coding RNA. RefSeq lists it as uncharacterized. The transcript has 3 exons. NCBI's taxonomy places the organism in Eukaryota, Viridiplantae, Streptophyta, Magnoliopsida, Magnoliales, Magnoliaceae. The record is from RefSeq and is a predicted model, not a curated record.
CAGGUCAGCCCAGAUCUUUAUGGAGAUAACAACACAAGGCUCUUCACUUAUUGGACUGUGGAAAUUAAUUUAGAAGUGCAAAUGGGAAAUACAGGAAUGGCAAUCCAUAUCCUGUCAACCUAAGUGCAGUUGUUGGUCUAAGUGGCUGGCUUCCUUGUUCAAGGGGCUUGAAGAACAAGAUAGAAGGGUCACAAGAGGCUGCAAGGCCUGCUGCAUCUCUGCUACUUUUGUAGUCAAUGGGGAAGUUUAAUCCAAUAGG